Molecule: ribosomal RNA, 659 nt
Filed under: uncultured fungus
Lineage: Eukaryota; Fungi
Description: eukaryotic LSU rRNA
Rfam family: Eukaryotic large subunit ribosomal RNA
Source: RNAcentral
CCCGCUGAACUUAAGCAUAUCAAUAAGCGGAGGAAAAGAAACUAACAAGGAUUCCCCUAGUAACUGCGAGUGAAGCGGGAAAAGCUCAAAUUUAAAAUCUGUCAGUCUUUGGCUGUCCGAGUUGUAAUCUAGAGGAGUGUUAUCCGCGCUGUACCGUGUACAAGUCUCCUGGAAUGGAGCGUCAUAGAGGGUGAGAAUCCCGUCUUUGACACGGACUGUCACGGCUUUUGUGAUGCGCUCUCGAAGAGUCGAGUUGUUUGGGAAUGCAGCUCAAGAUGGGUGUUAAAUUCCAUCUAAAGCUCUAUAUUGACGAGAGACCGAUAGCGAACAAGUACCGUGAGGGAAAGAUGAAAAGAACUUUGGAAAGAGAGUUAAACAGUACGUGAAAUUGCUGAAAGGGAAACGCUUGAAGUCAGUCGCGUCAUCCACGGAUCAACCUUGCUUUUGCUUGGUGUACUUUCUGGUUGACGGGUCAGCAUCAAUUUUGACCAUUGGAAAAAGAUUAAGGGAAUGUGGCAUACAUAGUGAUGUGUUAUAGCCCUUGGUUGCAUACAAUGGUUGUGAUUGAGGAACUCAGCACGCCGCAAGGCCGGGUUUUUAUUAACCACGUACGUGCUUAGGAUGUUGGCAUAAUGGCUUUAAUCGAUCCGUCUUCACAC